GGGAUAUUGGACAAUGGGGGAAACCCUGAUCCAGCGACGCCGCGUGAGUGAAGAAGUAUUUCGGUAUGUAAAGCUCUAUCAGCAGGGAAGAAAAAGCGUAAGCAUUGACAGUACCUGACUAAGAAGCCCCGGCUAACUACGUGCCAGCAGCCGCGGUAAUACGUAGGGGGCAAGCGUUAUCCGGAUUUACUGGGUGUAAAGGGAGUGCAGGCGGCGAUGCAAGUUAGAUGUGAAAGCCCGGGGCUUAACCCCGGGACUGCAUUUGAAACUGUAUUGCUAGAGUAUCGGAGAGGUAAGCGGAAUUCCUAGUGUAGCGGUGAAAUGCAUAGAUAUUAGGAAGAACACCGGUGGCGAAGGCGGCUUACUGGACGAUAACUGACGCUGAGGCUCGAAAGCGUGGGGAGCAAACA
Molecule: ribosomal RNA, 410 nt
Filed under: uncultured bacterium
Lineage: Bacteria
Description: bacterial SSU rRNA
Rfam family: Bacterial small subunit ribosomal RNA
Source: RNAcentral